Molecule: ribosomal RNA, 467 nt
Filed under: uncultured bacterium
Lineage: Bacteria
Description: partial 16S ribosomal RNA
Rfam family: Bacterial small subunit ribosomal RNA
Source: RNAcentral
GACGAACGCUGGCGGCGUGCUUAACACAUGCAAGUCGAACGGAAAGGCCCUGCUUUUGUGGGGUGCUCGAGUGGCGAACGGGUGAGUAACACGUGAGUAACCUGCCCUUGACUUUGGGAUAACUUCAGGAAACUGGGGCUAAUACCGGAUAGGAGCUCCUGCUGCAUGGUGGGGGUUGGAAAGUUUCGGCGGUCGGGGAUGGACUCGCGGCUUAUCAGCUUGUUGGUGGGGUAGUGGCUUACCAAGGCUUUGACGGGUAGCCGGCCUGAGAGGGUGACCGGCCCCAUGGGGAGGGGGAUAGGGCCCAAGCCCCUAGGGGGGGAAGCGGGGGGGAAUUUUGCAAAAGGGGGGGAGCCCUGAUGGAGAAACCCCGGGGGGGGGAGGGGGCCCUUGGGGUUGAAACCCCCUUUCCCCGGGAACAAAGGGGGGGGGAGGGAAAUGGUAAAAGAAGCACCGGCUAACCACGG